RNAcentral lists this unclassified non-coding RNA (456 nucleotides) under Hevea brasiliensis (rubber tree). Lineage: Eukaryota; Viridiplantae; Streptophyta; Magnoliopsida; Malpighiales; Euphorbiaceae. The record is from RNAcentral.
AGACUGAAAACAACUAUAUUCUUGUUAACCUCCUUUUUCUAUAAUUCAAGGAUCUCUGUCUAUGCUAAUUCUCAUAAACAUCUCUCUGCAUAUUGAUGAACCUUGGAGAGGAAAACUCCAAACCUGAUUGAGAUUUGAGAAAAUUACUGAGAAGAAUAUUAAAAAUGUUAUAACUUAAUAUAAUAUACAUCUCAUCCAUCGUUAUUAUAUGACAAUGUUCCUCUAUUCUAAUGGUCUACCAUAAAGCUUGAAUUACCAAAUGAGAAAAUCCUGUUAAUCAUCUAUCUUACUUCCUGUGUACAGUUACAAAGACUAUGCAUUGGUUAAAUGUCAUGCCUUGCUACUUGAUGCAAUUUCUUCUAAAUCUACAAACAAAUUUAUAAUCAUGGAAGCAACAAAUUCAAAAUAGUAUAAACUAUAAAUCUUAUGCAUCAAAGAGUAUUGACAACCUAAAUU